This 381-nucleotide unclassified non-coding RNA is filed under the name Moritella viscosa. RNAcentral's name for it is "putative sRNA". Lineage: Bacteria; Pseudomonadati; Pseudomonadota; Gammaproteobacteria; Alteromonadales; Moritellaceae. The record is from RNAcentral.
CUAAAAGACCAGAGCCACUACAGGUAACGAACUAUAAAUUAAUUCAUCGAAAGAACCUCAACAUGGCUACAUCAAGGUUUCUCUCCCCCAUCAAUUCAGCCACAACAAUAGACCUAAAACUCAUUAAAUUAAGGUUUAUUUUUCACUCUAUUUUUAUAGGAAAUUGACGGCACAAAACACACCUAAUCAGGUGUGAAACAUAUCAAAGGUAAUGUGUAAAUUAUCAGGAAUAUGCUAAGACAUUUAUUUGAGUGUGACUGAGGAAACCAAUGUAAAUUAUGUCGCACUUAGUCGAAUGCGCAUUAUCCCCAAGCCUGAUAAGAAUGCAAAAAACGAGUCAUCAUAUGCCGUCAUCACACUUUAAAAAUAACAUAACCAUAA